CAACCUUGUUGUGUUUUGUAGGAAAAUAUGUCGCAAGCGGUGGGAGGAACGGGCGCCGGAGCUGUUGGAAGUGGUGGUCCAUCUGGUGUACUAGAGAAACCCCACCGGAAGUAUAAAAAGGGGGACCGUACUCGACGAAUCUGGUCCCACAGAGAGGAAGAAAUCUUGGCAGCGACUUUGGUAGAGUUGGUGGCUUUGGGGUGAAAGUCAGACAAUGGCUUUCGGACCGACUACCUUAAAAAAUGUGAGGACAGUAUCCGCCAAGAAUUUCCGACUUCCGAUAUUAAAGGUACGCUGCAUAUCGUUUCGAAGCUCACUGCAUGGAAAACAAGCUACACUAGUUUGCGAAAUAUUUUGGAUAGAACCGGUGUGGGGUUUAGUUCGAACGGAGAUUACAAGAUUGACAUCGACGAUGAUCAGUGGGAGCAUGUCGUUAAGGUGGACCCUAAAGCUAAAUUCAUGCGUCAUAAAUCGUGGCCUUUGUGGGAGACUUGGAAAUGCAUUUUCGGCAAAGACCGUGCAAUGGGUGGCGGAGCCGAGAAUAUUUAUGUAGUUGCAUCUCAUCUUCGCGAUUUCGGCGGUGGAGGCAGUCAUUGUGACGAGAGUAACUCCCAACCGCCAUUCGUUGCAGUCCCGUUCACUGAUACUGAACCACCCGAAGACGAACAUUUAGCCGAACACACCAGUUCGGGGAAUACCGACAGGCAACCUGUGGUUGACAAAUCAGCGGGUGAAAAGCGUAAGGCAGCAAGUUCAGACCAAAUGCUAAUGGAUUUUUUGGGCAAUCUACAUGCUGAGACUAAUUCAAGGUUGGCGGAGCUUUCAUAAAAAAUUGGUUACGAUAUGAUCUUGGAUAGGCCCGACAAGCGGUGUUUGAGAAGCUUUCUGAGGUUGACGGAAUCACAACAGCUGAGAAGUACCGAUUGUGCAACAUAUUGAGUGAUAAACCGCAGAGGCUCGAGGUGUUCAUGGGUAUGCUAGUACCAGCUCGGCUUGGCUAUCUUCUGGCCCUAUUAGAGGAGGGUUGAUCGACUUUAAGUUUUACGCUUUUUGUAUCGUCUAGUUGUGGUGAUGUCGUAGUUGUUCCGUGUUUUAUUAAGUUUAGCGUGUGUUACGUUCGGGGAGUAGUUUAGGUUUGUUUCAGAAGAACAACCUUGGCUCGUGUA
Long non-coding RNA from Salvia splendens (bonfire salvia), 1166 nucleotides. RefSeq lists it as uncharacterized. The record is from RefSeq and is a predicted model, not a curated record. The transcript is spliced from 3 exons. NCBI's taxonomy places the organism in Eukaryota, Viridiplantae, Streptophyta, Magnoliopsida, Lamiales, Lamiaceae.